This 101-nucleotide Y RNA is filed under the name Sorex araneus (European shrew). RNAcentral's name for it is "Y RNA (ENSSARG00000016832.1)". It matches the Rfam family "Y RNA". From Rfam's summary of the family: Y RNAs are components of the Ro ribonucleoprotein particle (Ro RNP), in association with Ro60 and La proteins. The Y RNAs and Ro60 and La proteins are well conserved, but the function of the Ro RNP is not known. The record is from RNAcentral. Lineage: Eukaryota; Metazoa; Chordata; Mammalia; Eulipotyphla; Soricidae.
GGCUGGUCCAAGUGCAGGGGUGUUGAGGGUUAAUUGAUCACAGCCAGUUACAGAUUUCUUUGUUCCCUCUCCAGUCCCACUGCUUCACUUGACUGGGAAAA